GCCCCAGAGGAAAUCUGAGGUGUGACCUGCCCAGUGGUUUGAAAGUCAACCAAAAUAAAAAAACAUUAAUCAAACUAAAAGGACGCGGUAACCUUGACCGUGAUAAUGUAGCAUAAUCAUUCGCCAUUUAAUUGAUGGAUAGUAUGAACGGUUGAACGAAUAUUUAACUGUCUUAGAAAGAGAAAAAGUAAACUAGAAUAAUAGUGAAGAUACUAUUUAAAGUUGUAAGACGAAAAGACCCUAUAGAGCUUAACUAUAACCUUUCUAAAAAAACCAUGAAAAAAGUCACUAAAAAGAAAGGGUGAUAGUUUAGUUGGGGCGACUACCUUUUAGAAUAAACAAAGGUAAACAAAGUCAACUUAGAAACUUACUGUAGAGAUAAAUAUCUCAGCAGUUACGAAAGUAGGUAAUAAUGACCCGUUCGAAAGUGGUAAAAUUUCUAACGAUUAAUUGAUAAAAGCUACCUUAGGGAUAACAGGAUAAUUACUUUCUAGAGAUCCGAUCGAAAUUGUAGUUUGUCACCUCUAUGUUGAAUUAAGAUAACCCGGUGAUGUAGAAGUUACCAAAGGUAGGUCUGUUCGACCUUUAAAAUCUU
This 595-nucleotide ribosomal RNA is filed under the name Wuvula ochracea. RNAcentral's name for it is "partial large subunit ribosomal RNA". It matches the Rfam family "Bacterial large subunit ribosomal RNA", at positions 1831 to 2597 of the family's 2925-position model. The record is from RNAcentral. Lineage: Eukaryota; Metazoa; Cnidaria; Hydrozoa; Leptothecata; Laodiceidae.